RNAcentral lists this long non-coding RNA (1647 nucleotides) under Chlamydomonas reinhardtii. Its description in RNAcentral is "long non-coding RNA (CREI_LNC000028)". Lineage: Eukaryota; Viridiplantae; Chlorophyta; Chlorophyceae; Chlamydomonadales; Chlamydomonadaceae. The record is from RNAcentral.
UGGAGACUGCCCACAUCUGGCGGCAUUGCUUCUGCAUCCUUGGCUAUGCAAGUUGUGUUCAGGGUGAGCGACCUGUAUGCCUGUCUAAACAAUCCGCUUGGAACAUAAGAAGGCAUUAGUACGCCUGCAAGAGGGCUCGGGGACAGGGGAUAGACAGGCUGGCAGGGCCAGCGCAGGGGAGUCCCGCCACAUUCCACCUGCCAGCACGGUUUCAAGAGUUGCCUGCAUCCACCUGGACUCAAAUUCAGCAUACAUCUAAAUGUGUCUGCAGCCUAUGCGGACCGCUCCCACCAAGCAAUACUUAGCAUACAAGCUCAGCCACGAAGACUAUAUAACUUCUUUGCCGCUCACGCCUCGUGGCUAGCUUUCUGUACCUGUUUACUUAUUGUAAAUAAUAGCAUCAGUUUAUGCUGGUGAAUGACUGAGCUGUCGCGAUGACAGCUUGUGAAGCGGCAAUUUGCAACGGCAACGACGCGUGUACAUUUUCCUUGAUAAUGACGGGCAUCGCACCCAGAAGGGCCCUUUUGCGUGCCCUGUAAACCCAGCACACCUACCCCCCCCCCUUCGCUGGUGGAGCGGGUCCCUGCGCACCCUCCCCUGCCUACGAUCCUGUGUGGCCGCACAAAAUAUACAUGUGGGCAGCACAUCAUCAGCCACGUGUUCAUGGCCAAUUCGCGGCGCUGCUGCACAAGAGAGUGGCAGGUAGGGCAACAUACUUUGUGCUCAGGGGUAGGUGCUGCAUGCAAUACUUCCCUGCAUUCCGAAAAGGGUAGAGGAGAGCUGCUGGAGGCCUGGGUUGUAGGCCUGUAGCUAGCAGGCAGUGGACGAGGGCGAGGUCAGCGUAGACGGGGUUAAAAAAUAGAUAAACCUUCAUCCUGGGACAGCUCCAACUAACGCCCAACUAACGCCCAAAUAACUCGUGUACGGCACCCCCACCCCCCUCAGCCGUACAGGAGCUGCGGUUGGGUGUCGGUAGCUGCCGCGGCUGGGAGCUGGUAGUUGUACGGUGGGCCGGCUGGGAAGCUGCCGAGCCUGGGAGCCUGGGACGCACACGGGUCGUUGGCAUGGGUCGGGUAGCUGUACGGCUGGGAGCUGGAAGUUGCGCGGGAGACCGGCUGCAAAGCGACAUGAGUGCAUAGGUGUACGGCGGAGGUCAGGGGAUGGUGGCUGGCGGUUGGCGUGGCGCACGAGUGGGAGCUGGCAGUUGCAUGUGGUGCCGGCUGGGAAGCUGCGUGUGAGCUGCGUGUAAACUCAGAGGGGAUGCAUGGGGCUGCGCCUUUUCAUGAGCUGCAUCUGGGCUGCACACGGGAUUCACACGGACUGCACUGUAACUGGCGCGGCGGGGCGGCGCCAGCCGUCCCCGCCACGCUGGGAAGUGGCGUGUGGGAUGUGAUGGGAUGUGAUCCAGCCAGGUGAGGACAUGGCCGCGUGCGGUGCACUGCGUGCACCAGUGCGGCGCGUCAGUCUGCCUACCUACGAUCGAGCUGCAUCAGAGCUCACACGCGGCUGCGGCUGACCGGCGCGGCGGGGGGCGGCGCCGCGCUGUGGGGUGAAAGGAGCGAGGCACAGAAACUCAAGGGAAACUCAGUCAAAACUCGGAGGAAACUCGGAGGAAACUCGGCUGAAACUCCGAAGUCGAACAAUGGA